Molecule: unclassified non-coding RNA, 833 nt
Filed under: Hevea brasiliensis (rubber tree)
Lineage: Eukaryota; Viridiplantae; Streptophyta; Magnoliopsida; Malpighiales; Euphorbiaceae
Source: RNAcentral
AGUAACCACGCCAUGCAAUAUGAAAUCUUUCCAAAUCAUCAUCCAAACAUAAAGUUAAUUACCAAGAGGGCAAGAAAUUUUGGAGAGAGAGACUCUCCCUUUCUUUUCUUCAUCUGCUUCCAAGGCUUCAUCCUUUGCAGCUAUUUGUAUAGUGGUCUUCCCUUGCCCUUUCUAGCUGGGAGAGCUUCUUUCUGGCCUCGAUAAUGGGCUUAUCCUUCUCAACUUUGAAUUUAUGUAAAUACUUUUGUGUUGCUCUUGUUGUGUAUAGGUCCUGUAGAUCUAUGGAGAGGGAUGUUUUUGUUGACUUACAUACGGGUUUUAUCUAGAUCGCUUUGAUGCUCUGGAUCUAUAGCUGAGUUUGGCUCAAUGGGAAAGGUUUCAUUAAGAGGUCGAGAUGUUCGGCACCUCCGAAGUUACAAUGCCACUUCCGCUGCUGGAUGGCGACUCUGCCUUCAUCACCUUCCCCCAGUAAAUGGUUCUAGUUUUGAGGCUUUGAGGUUCUAUUGCCAUUGGGUGAGGUUGGAUGGCCUUUUCAUGAAAUUUCCUCUAGCUCGCUCUAAGCUUUAUUAUGGAUGACAACAAUCUUCCCACCUAGUUGGUGACCUAGCUUUAAUCAGAGCAGUUGGCUAGUGAUGUUGAGUUGUUUCUGUUUAUUCUUGAUCGGCGGUGCAGGAUUAUGAGUUGUUCCUUUAUUGGUACCUAGGGUUCCUAUUCUAGGAUUGAUAUAUGUAUCUGCAUUGGGCCUAUGGGACCUCAUUCCCUUAUUCUGUUGUAUUGGAUACCCAUGUGUACUGGGCUGUACUUCCUUUGGUUGUAUUAUUUGAGGCCUAAAU